RNAcentral lists this ribosomal RNA (466 nucleotides) under uncultured bacterium. RNAcentral describes it as "partial 16S ribosomal RNA". It matches the Rfam family "Bacterial small subunit ribosomal RNA", at positions 28 to 507 of the family's 1533-position model. The record is from RNAcentral.
GAUGAACGCUGGCGGCGUGCUUAACACAUGCGAGUCGAACGAUGAAGCCCAGCUUGCUGGGUGGAUUAGUGGCGAACGGGUGAGUAACACGUGAGUAACCUGCCCUUAACUCUGGGAUAAGCCUGGGAAACUGGGUCUAAUACCGGAUAGGAGCGUCCACCGCAUGGUGGGUGUUGGAAAGAUUUAUCGGUUUUGGAUGGACUCGCGGCCUAUCAGCUUGUUGGUGAGGUAAUGGCUCACCACGGCGACGACGGGUAGCCGGCCUGAGAGGGUGACCGGCCACACUGGGACUGAGACACGGCCCAGACUCCUACGGGAGGCAGCAGUGGGGAAUAUUGCACAAUGGGCGCAAGCCUGAUGCAGCGACGCCGCGUGAGGGAUGACGGCCUUCGGGUUGUAAACCUCUUUCAGUAGGGAAGAAGCGAAAGUGACGGUACCUGCAGAAGAAGCACCGGCUAACUACGUG